UUGACCUCGGAUCAGGUAGGGAUACCCGCUGAACUUAAGCAUAUCAAUAAGCGGAGGAAAAGAAACCAACAGGGAUUGCCUCAGUAACGGCGAGGGAAGCGGCAACAGCUCAAAUA
This 116-nucleotide ribosomal RNA is filed under the name Cetraria aculeata. Its description in RNAcentral is "partial 28S ribosomal RNA". It matches the Rfam family "Eukaryotic large subunit ribosomal RNA", at positions 1 to 115 of the family's 3401-position model. Lineage: Eukaryota; Fungi; Ascomycota; Lecanoromycetes; Lecanorales; Parmeliaceae. The record is from RNAcentral.